ACGCUGGCGGCGUGCUUAACACAUGCAAGUCGAACGGAAAGGCCCUGCUUUUGUGGGGUGCUCGAGUGGCGAACGGGUGAGUAACACGUGAGUAACCUGCCCUUGACUUUGGGAUAACUUCAGGAAACUGGGGCUAAUACCGGAUAGGAGCUCCUGCUGCAUGGUGGGGGUUGGAAAGUUUCGGCGGUUGGGGAUGGACUCGCGGCUUAUCAGCUUGUUGGUGGGGUAGUGGCUUACCAAGGCUUUGACGGGUAGCCGGCCUGAGAGGGUGACCGGCCACAUUGGGACUGAGAUACGGCCCAGACUCCUACGGGAGGCAGCAGUGGGGAAUAUUGCACAAUGGGCGGAAGCCUGAUGCAGCAACGCCGCGUGCGGGAUGACGGCCUUCGGGUUGUAAACCGCUUUCGCCUGUGACGAAGCGUGAGUGACGGUAAUGGGUAAAGAAGCACCGGCUAACUACGUGCCAGCAGCCGCGGUGAUACGUAGGGUGCGAGCGUUGUCCGGAUUUAUUGGGCGUAAAGGGCUCGUAGGUGGUUGAUCGCGUCGGAAGUGUAAUCUUGGGGCUUAACCCUGAGCGUGCUUUCGAUACGGGUUGACUUGAGGAAGGUAGGGGAGAAUGGAAUUCCUGGUGGAGCGGUGGAAUGCGCAGAUAUCAGGAGGAACACCAGUGGCGAAGGCGGUUCUCUGGGCCUUUCCUGACGCUGAGGAGCGAAAGCGUGGGGAGCGAACAGGCUUAGAUACCCUGGUAGUCCACGCUGUAAACGGUGGGUACUAGGUGUGGGGUCCAUUCCACGGGUUCCGUGCCGUAGCUAACGCUUUAAGUACCCCGCCUGGGGAGUACGGCCGCAAGGCUAAAACUCAAAGGAAUUGACGGGGCCCCGCACAAGCGGCGGAGCAUGCGGAUUAAUUCGAUGCAACGCGUAGAACCUUACCUGGGUUUGACAUGGAUCGGGAGUGCUCAGAGAUGGGUGUGCCUCUUUUGGGGUCGGUUCACAGGUGGUGCAUGGCUGUCGUCAGCUCGUGUCGUGAGAUGUUGGGUUGAGUCCCGCAACGAGCGCAACCCUUGUUCACUGUUGCCAGCACGUUAUGGUGGGGACUCAGUGGAGACCGCCGGGGUCAACUCGGAGGAAGGUGGGGAUGACGUCAAGUCAUCAUGCCCCUUAUGUCCAGGGCUUCACGCAUGCUACAAUGGCUGGUACAGAGAGUGGCGAGCCUGUGAGGGUGAGCGAAUCUCGGAAAGCCGGUCUCAGUUCGGAUUGGGGUCUGCAACUCGACCUCAUGAAGUCGGAGUCGCUAGUAAUCGCAGAUCAGCAACGCUGCGGUGAAUACGUUCCCGGGGCUUGUACACACCGCCCGUCAAGUCAUGAAAGUUGGUAACACCCGAAGCCGGUGGCCUAACCGUUGUGGGGGAGCCGUCGAAGGUGGGACUGGU
Molecule: ribosomal RNA, 1432 nt
Filed under: uncultured organism
Description: 16S ribosomal RNA
Rfam family: Bacterial small subunit ribosomal RNA
Source: RNAcentral